Molecule: ribosomal RNA, 112 nt
Filed under: Cryptocercus clevelandi
Lineage: Eukaryota; Metazoa; Arthropoda; Insecta; Blattodea; Cryptocercidae
Description: partial 28S ribosomal RNA
Source: RNAcentral
UCGCGCCCAGGAGCGGUUUGGCCGACCCUCAGCCAGGCGUGGUUCGGGUUGGAAAUCCAAGGACCGCAAUGUGCGUUCGAAGUGUCGAUGUUCAUGUGUCCUGCAGUUCACA